GGGUGAGUAACACGUGAGUAACCUGCCCUUAACUCUGGGAUAAGCCUGGGAAACUGGGUCUAAUACCGGAUAGGAGCGUCCACCGCAUGGUGGGUGUUGGAAAGAUUUAUCGGUUUUGGAUGGACUCGCGGCCUAUCAGCUUGUUGGUGAGGUAAUGGCUCACCAAGGCGACGACGGGUAGCCGGCCUGAGAGGGUGACCGGCCACACUGGGACUGAGACACGGCCCAGACUCCUACGGGAGGCAGCAGUGGGGAAUAUUGCACAAUGGGCGCAAGCCUGAUGCAGCGACGCCGCGUGAGGGAUGACGGCCUUCGGGUUGUAAACCUCUUUCAGUAGGGAAGAAGCGAAAGUGACGGUACCUGCAGAAGAAGCACCGGCUAACUACGUGCCAGCAGCCGCGGUAAUACGUAGGGUGCGAGCGUUAUCCGGAAUUAUUGGGCGUAAAGAGCUCGUAGGCGGUUUGUCGCGUCUGUCGUGAAAGUCCGGGGCUUAACCUCGGAUCUGCGGUGGGUACGGGCAGACUAGAGUGCAGUAGGGGAGACUGGAAUUCCUGGUGUAGCGGUGGAAUGCGCAGAUAUCAGGAGGAACACCGAUGGCGAAGGCAGGUCUCUGGGCUGUAACUGACGCUGAGGAGCGAAAGCAUGGGGAGCGAACAGGAUUAGAUACCCUGGUAGUCCAUGCCGUAAACGUUGGGCACUAGGUGUGGGGACCAUUCCACGGUUUCCGCGCCGCAGCUAACGCAUUAAGUGCCCCGCCUGGGGAGUACGGCCGCAAGGCUAAAACUCAAAGGAAUUGACGGGGGCCCGCACAAGCGGCGGAGCAUGCGGAUUAAUUCGAUGCAACGCGAAGAACCUUACCAAGGCUUGACAUGUUCUCGAUCGCCGUAGAGAUACGGUUUCCCCUUUGGGGCGGGUUCACAGGUGGUGCAUGGUUGUCGUCAGCUCGUGUCGUGAGAUGUUGGGUUAAGUCCCGCAACGAGCGCAACCCUCGUUCCAUGUUGCCAGCACGUAAUGGUGGGGACUCAUGGGAGACUGCCGGGGUCAACUCGGAGGAAGGUGAGGACGACGUCAAAUCAUCAUGCCCCUUAUGUCUUGGGCUUCACGCAUGCUACAAUGGCCGGUACAAUGGGUUGCGAUACUGUGAGGUGGAGCUAAUCCCAAAAAGCCGGUCUCAGUUCGGAUUGGGGUUUGCAACUCGACCCCAUGAAGUUGGAGUCGCUAGUAAUCGCAGAUCAGCAAUCGCGCCGAAUG
This 1251-nucleotide ribosomal RNA is filed under the name Micrococcus sp. Its description in RNAcentral is "bacterial SSU rRNA". It matches the Rfam family "Bacterial small subunit ribosomal RNA", at positions 104 to 1368 of the family's 1533-position model. The record is from RNAcentral. Lineage: Bacteria; Bacillati; Actinomycetota; Actinomycetes; Micrococcales; Micrococcaceae.